UACGUAGGGGCCGAGCGUUGUCCGGAAUUACUGGGCGUAAAGCGCGCGUAGGCGGAUUUGCAAGUCGGGGGUGAAAGCCCGAGGCUCAACCUCGGAACUGCCCUCGAUACUGCAAAUCUCGAGUCCGAGAGAGGUGAGUGGAAUUCCUAGUGUAGAGGUGAAAUUCGUAGAUAUUGGGAAGAACACCGGUGGCGAAGGCGGCCAACUGGACCACAACUGACGCUGAGGCGCGAAAGCGUGGGGAGCAAACAGG
This 253-nucleotide ribosomal RNA is filed under the name uncultured bacterium. RNAcentral's name for it is "partial 16S ribosomal RNA". It matches the Rfam family "Bacterial small subunit ribosomal RNA", at positions 524 to 776 of the family's 1533-position model. The record is from RNAcentral.